This 182-nucleotide non-coding RNA is filed under the name Pelosinus sp. UFO1. RNAcentral also lists the same sequence under 1 other name. Lineage: Bacteria; Bacillati; Bacillota; Negativicutes; Selenomonadales; Sporomusaceae. The record is from RNAcentral.
ACUUUAUAAAUAGAGAUAGGUGCCCUAAGGGGCUUAAUAGGGAAGUCCGGUUUCAUGCCGGCGCGGUCCCGCCACUGUAAUGAGGAGCGAACCCAAGGUAUACCACUGAGGCGAAAGUUUUGGGAAGGUUUGGGGAAGCGAUGAUCCAGAGCCAGGAGAACUGCCUAUUUGAUAAUCACCGU